This 1027-nucleotide ribosomal RNA is filed under the name uncultured Bacteroides sp. Its description in RNAcentral is "bacterial SSU rRNA". It matches the Rfam family "Bacterial small subunit ribosomal RNA", at positions 138 to 1169 of the family's 1533-position model. The record is from RNAcentral. Lineage: Bacteria; Pseudomonadati; Bacteroidota; Bacteroidia; Bacteroidales; Bacteroidaceae.
CUUGGCCAGCCUUCUGAAAGGAAGAUUAAUACAAGAUGGCAUCAUGAGUCCGCAUGUUCACAUGAUUAAAGGUAUUCCGGUAGACGAUGGGGAUGCGUUCCAUUAGAUAGUAGGCGGGGUAACGGCCCACCUAGUCUUCGAUGGGUAGGGGUUCUGAGAGGAAGGUCCCCCACAUUGGAACUGAGACACGGUCCAAACUCCUACGGGAGGCAGCAGUGAGGAAUAUUGGUCAAUGGGCGAGAGCCUGAACCAGCCAAGUAGCGUGAAGGAUGACUGCCCUAUGGGUUGUAAACUUCUUUUAUAAGGGAAUAAAGUCGGGUAUGGAUACCCGUUUGCAUGUACUUUAUGAAUAAGGAUCGGCUAACUCCGUGCCAGCAGCCGCGGUAAUACGGAGGAUCCGAGCGUUAUCCGGAUUUAUUGGGUUUAAAGGGAGCGUAGAUGGAUGUUUAAGUCAGUUGUGAAAGUUUGCGGCUCAACCGUAAAAUUGCAGUUGAUACUGGAUAUCUUGAGUGCAGUUGAGGCAGGCGGAAUUCGUGGUGUAGCGGUGAAAUGCUUAGAUAUCACGAAGAACUCCGAUUGCGAAGGCAGCCUGCUAAGCUGCAACUGACAUUGAGGCUCGAAAGUGUGGGUAUCAAACAGGAUUAGAUACCCUGGUAGUCCACACGGUAAACGAUGAAUACUCGCUGUUUGCGAUAUACUGCAAGCGGCCAAGCGAAAGCGUUAAGUAUUCCACCUGGGGAGUACGCCGGCAACGGUGAAACUCAAAGGAAUUGACGGGGGCCCGCACAAGCGGAGGAACAUGUGGUUUAAUUCGAUGAUACGCGAGGAACCUUACCCGGGCUUAAAUUGCAGAUGAAUUACGGUGAAAGCCGUAAGCCGCAAGGCAUCUGUGAAGGUGCUGCAUGGUUGUCGUCAGCUCGUGCCGUGAGGUGUCGGCUUAAGUGCCAUAACGAGCGCAACCCUUGUUGUCAGUUACUAACAGGUUCCGCUGAGGACUCUGACAAGACUGCCAUCGUAAGAUGUGAGG